RNAcentral lists this transfer-messenger RNA (337 nucleotides) under chicken gut metagenome. It matches the Rfam family "transfer-messenger RNA". Rfam says of the family: Bacterial tmRNA, also known as 10Sa RNA or SsrA, is named for its dual tRNA and mRNA-like properties. Its role is to liberate the mRNA from a stalled ribosome. To accomplish this part of the tmRNA is used as a reading frame that ends in a translation stop signal. The record is from RNAcentral.
GGGCUUGUAAAGGUUUCGACGGGGGUUUUGAAGUUGGAGCAGCCAUCCGAAGGUACCGCGUAAGGUGCAAACUUAAAUAUAAACGCUGAAGAUAAUUUAGCAGUCGCUGCCUAACGGCAGCUGUCUGACGCGGAGCACCUGCACUCUGCGACUCAGGCAUCGACGAUGCAGGAAACGACAUAUGCUAAGCUUUGCGCAUAUGGGCGUAUCAUGAAGCUACUGAAGCCGUAAGCCUGCCGGUUGGCGUACGGCGGAGGGAAUGUCAAAUAAGCGGCUGUGAUGGGAGAUACUGCAAUGGAUGGGCUUUCGGACGCGGGUUCGAUUCCCGCCAGGUCCA